UACGUAGGGGGCAAGCGUUGUCCGGAUUUAUUGGGCGUAAAGAGCGUGUAGGCGGCUUUGCAAGUCCGUUGUGAAAACUCGAGGCUCAACCUCGGAACUGCCUUUGAUACUGCAAAUCUCGAGUCCGGAAGAGGUGAGUGGAAUUCCUAGUGUAGAGGUGAAAUUCGUAGAUAUUAGGAAGAACACCAGCGGCGAAAGCGCGUGACUGGGCCUGAACUGACACUCAUGGACGAAAGCUAGGGGAGCGAAAGGG
Molecule: ribosomal RNA, 253 nt
Filed under: uncultured bacterium
Lineage: Bacteria
Description: partial 16S ribosomal RNA
Rfam family: Bacterial small subunit ribosomal RNA
Source: RNAcentral